AAUAAUCGUACGCUAAAUGGUAAAGUGGUUAUCUUACACAUAACUGGCAGUAGUUUUAAUUUACUAUUCUCUAUUAUU
RNAcentral lists this transfer RNA (78 nucleotides) under Parasitella parasitica. RNAcentral describes it as "tRNA-Val". The record is from RNAcentral. Lineage: Eukaryota; Fungi; Mucoromycota; Mucoromycetes; Mucorales; Mucoraceae.